GAUUUGCGUGAGGGAUAGCAGUGGAAAGCCCGGAGCCUGACGAAGGAAGUGCGAGGACUUGAAACGGAUAGCCCGGCCCGGA
RNAcentral lists this unclassified non-coding RNA (82 nucleotides) under Flavobacterium aquidurense. RNAcentral's name for it is "Flavo-1 RNA". Lineage: Bacteria; Pseudomonadati; Bacteroidota; Flavobacteriia; Flavobacteriales; Flavobacteriaceae. The record is from RNAcentral.